GUGUUCAUUUUUGGCAGCACAUAUUCUAAGAUUGUAAUGAUACAGAGAAGUUUAGCAUGGCCCCUGUGCAAGGAUGACAUGGAAAUUCAUGCAGCAUUCCAUAUUUUU
Molecule: small nuclear RNA, 108 nt
Organism: Choloepus didactylus (southern two-toed sloth)
Lineage: Eukaryota; Metazoa; Chordata; Mammalia; Pilosa; Megalonychidae
Source: RefSeq, a predicted model, not a curated record